This 408-nucleotide ribosomal RNA is filed under the name uncultured bacterium. Its description in RNAcentral is "bacterial SSU rRNA". It matches the Rfam family "Bacterial small subunit ribosomal RNA", at positions 29 to 418 of the family's 1533-position model. The record is from RNAcentral.
AAUCAACGCUGGCGGCGUGCCUAACACAUGCAAGUCGAACGCGAAAGUCCCGAAAGGGGCAAGUAGAGUGGCAAACGGGUGAGUAACGCGUGGGUGACCUGCCUUCGAGCGGGGGAUAACGUUCCGAAAGGGACGCUAAUACCGCAUAACAUCCUGCCCUUGAACGGGUGGAGAUCAAAGCCGGGGAUUCGCAAGAACCCGGCACUUGAAGAGGGGCCCGCGUCUGAUUAGCUAGUUGGUGAGGUAACGGCNCACCAAGGCAACGAUCAGUAUCCGGCCUGAGAGGGCGGACGGACACACUGGGACUGAGACACGGGCCCAGACCCCUACGGGAGGGCAGCAGUGGGGAAGUCUUGCGCAAUGGGCGAAAGCCUGACGCAGCGACGCCGCGUGAGGGAUGACGGCCUC